Molecule: ribosomal RNA, 429 nt
Filed under: Chloroflexota bacterium
Lineage: Bacteria; Bacillati; Chloroflexota
Description: Chloroflexi bacterium partial 16S ribosomal RNA
Rfam family: Bacterial small subunit ribosomal RNA
Source: RNAcentral
UGGGGAAUAUUGCACAAUGGGCGCAAGCCUGAUGCAGCCAUGCCGCGUGUGUGAAGAAGGCCUUCGGGUUGUAAAGCACUUUCAGCGGGGAGGAAGGCGAUAAGGUUAAUAACCUUGUCGAUUGACGUUACCCGCAGAAGAAGCACCGGCUAACUCCGUGCCAGCAGCCGCGGUAAUACGGAGGGUGCAAGCGUUAAUCGGAAUUACUGGGCGUAAAGCGCACGCAGGCGGUCUGUCAAGUCGGAUGUGAAAUCCCCGGGCUCAACCUGGGGACUGCAUUCGAAACUGGCAGGCUAGAGUCUUGUAGAGGGGGGUAGAAUUCCAGGUGUAGCGGUGAAAUGCGUAGAGAUCUGGGGGAAUACCGGUGGCGAAGGCGGCCCCCUGGACAAAGACUGACGCUCAGGUGCGAAAGCGUGGGGAGCAAACAGG